UUCAACAGAUAAUUUUACCAAGUAAUUGUGUAGUGCUAAUAGUGUUGUUAGUUUAUUUUCAUGAUGGCCACCUUAGUGUUUGGCAAUUCUCAGAUUAGGUAUUUUUACCAACAUUUUGAAAAUGGAAAUGAAUGUGACAUACAUGUUAUUUCCAAAAGUGGAUUAACAUUUCAAAACGCUUGGAAUCAGUUGAAGAACUUGGUAACAAAUUACAAAAUUUUGGUCCUCCACUUGGGUUAUGAUGAAUUGGCUAAAAGGGAAACUGAUGAAGAAGUUCUUUCAAAGUACCAAACUCUUGUAGAAAAUAUCUGGAAAAUCAAUCCAACAAUACAUAUAGUGAUUUCAGCAAUACCACCAAGAGGUGACAAUAAAUUCAGCAACAUUCUUGUGAAAGAUUCCUAUAUUAGGUCAAUCAAUGAAGAGGCUAUGUCAGUUAAUCAGGGACUUUCUGCUGUUUCAGCACUUAUUGAUCAGCUACAUUUUACAGGGCAUGGCUAUUUCAUGACAAAUGGUUGUCUAGACAGGUCACUUUUAGGUAGGGAUGGUGUUCAUUUCAGCAUGUCAGGUGUUAAGACAGUUUUUAAAUCAAUCCUAAGUUGUGUUAGAUAUGUAUCUGGACAGUUUAUGAAAAGCAAGCAGAGUGAUAGGUAAGGCAAAGAUACUAGUGUAGGUAAAGAUGUCUGUAUCUGAUGUUGAUACCCCCAGUAGUAGUGAUAGGUCAGACAAAGAUGUAUGUACUGUAUCUGAUACCCCCAGUAGUAGUGAUAGGUCAGACAAAGAUGUAUGUACUGUAUCUGAUACCCCCAGUAGUAGUGAUAGGUCAGACAAAGAUGUAUGUACUGUAUCUGAUACCCCCAGUAGUAGUGAUAGGUCAGACAAAGAUGUAUGUACUGUAUCUGAUACCCCCAGUAGUAGUGAUAGGUCAGACAAAGAUGUAUGUACUGUAUCUGAUACCCCCAGUAGUAGUGAUAGGUCAGACAAAGAUACCAGUGUAGGUGAAGCGAAGAUUUGUGAUCGUCAACAUGGUGGUGGAGUCGAACCAUAUAUGGUGAGAAAUAAUGAGCUGCAUGUAAGUGAAAUUAUUGACAUCUUACAAAAUUGGUAAGUACUCCAGCAGUGAAACCGUCAGGUGGGGAAGCUUUUAUGAUUCAAGGGAAACAUGUUGAUGAUAGAUAUUCUUUAGUGCUUUAAAUAAUUAAUAGGUUUUCAUCUGCAGCCCGCCUUGUGCGUAUAAAUGCUCGGAUGUAAAUCAUUAAUUAGUGGUGUUUUUUAGAUAUUUAUUUAAAUGUUUACUAGUGCUUUUGUAUAAUAUGUUUUAUGUUAUUAGGGCUAGACUGCAAGAGUGCAAUUAUGGGGACUGCUCUGCGUACCUUUGGACAUUGUCCACACCCUUGUGGCUAGUUCACAUAACUUUAUAGGAUAUAUACUAUUUAAUUGUGUAAUUUAGAAAUAAAAUAAAUUAAUUCUGAGAGUCUCAUUUUUUCAUUACACUGAUUGAAACACAUAUUCACAUAUAUUUUCUUGUCACUUGAUCGGUACUCAAAAUAUUUUCUAUAAUAAAAUUAUAUGGACUCAUUGUAGAACCACGUCCUCGUCGUUGAGUCUGGAAACAUUUCAAAUGGCCAAGAGUUCUACAUCAUUCUAAUUUGUUUUUUCAAAUGAAAAUGGUGUUUCGACAUGUAAUAACACCCAUUCUUGCAUAAAACACCGAGAAAUAACACAUUAAUAAUCAAUAAACACCUUUAAAACCCAUUCAGGUCCAGAUUCAGGUCCUUUCAGGCCCAUUCAUGUCUUUAGGAGGACCCGUAUUACCACCUUCCUUUCACUCGCACCUACCUGAGGACACCCCCUAUCGCCGAAGAAAAUUUCUAAAACUGGCGACUUUUGUUUGUUUUUGUGAACAAUGAUGAAAAUAAAUUGUUUCUUCAACUUAAUCUUUGUUUAAUUAUACACCAUGUUAUACAAGUUAAUGUAUAGAAGGUUAAGAAGUAUGUGUGACUAUUUCUAAGUACUUUUAUUUACAAAUAAACUUGACAAGAUGAUCCUACAAAAGGUUUCCACAGUGUUCUGUUCGUUGCUGUUUAUUUUGUCAUUAUGUUACACAAGUUAAUGUAUAGAAGUGUGAAUAUUUAAUACAUUUACUUAUUAAACACUUCGACAAGAUGAU
Long non-coding RNA from Pecten maximus, 2167 nucleotides. RefSeq lists it as uncharacterized. The record is from RefSeq and is a predicted model, not a curated record. Lineage: Eukaryota; Metazoa; Mollusca; Bivalvia; Pectinida; Pectinidae. The transcript is spliced from 2 exons.